GACGAACGCUGGCGGCGUGCUUAACACAUGCAAGUCGAGCGGUAAGGCCCUUUCGGGGGUACACGAGCGGCGAACGGGUGAGUAACACGUGGGUGACCUGCCCUCAGCUCUGGGAUAAGCCUGGGAAACUGGGUCUAAUACUGGAUAUGACUCCACGGUGCAUGUCGUGGGGUGAAAGCCUUGUGCGGCUGAGGAUGGGCCCGCGGCCUAUCAGCUUGUUGGUGGGGUGNNGGCCUACCAAAGGCGACGACGGGUAGCCGGCCUGAGAGGGCGACCGGCCACACUGGGACUGAGACACGG
Molecule: ribosomal RNA, 300 nt
Filed under: uncultured bacterium
Lineage: Bacteria
Description: bacterial SSU rRNA
Rfam family: Bacterial small subunit ribosomal RNA
Source: RNAcentral